Molecule: ribosomal RNA, 385 nt
Filed under: uncultured bacterium
Lineage: Bacteria
Description: bacterial SSU rRNA
Rfam family: Bacterial small subunit ribosomal RNA
Source: RNAcentral
AUUGAACGCUGGCUGCAUGCUUUACACAUGCAAGUCGAACGGUAACGCAGGGGCAACCCUGGCGACGAGUGGCGAACGGGUGAGUAAUACAUCGGAGCGUACCCAGUUGUGGGGGAUAGCUCGGCGAAAGCCGGAUUAAUACCGCAUACGACCUACGGGUGAAAGCGGGGGCUCGCAAGACCUCGCGCUAUUGGAGCGGCCGAUGGCAGAUUAGCUUGUUGGUGAGGAAGAGCUUACCAAGGCGACGAUCUGUAGCUGGUCUGAGAGGACGACCAGCCACACUGGGACUGAGACACGGCCCAGACUCCUACGGGAGGCAGCAGUGGGGAAUUUUGGACAAUGGGCGAAAGCCUGAUCCAGCAAUGCCGCGUGUGUGAUGAAGGCC